AGGAUGAACGCUAGCGGCAGGCCUAAUACAUGCAAGUCGAACGGACAGUAGCAAUACUGUUAGUGGCGCACGGGUGCGUAACACGUAACUAACCUGCCCAAGACUGGGGGAUAGCCCGCCGAAAGGCGGAUUAAUACCGCAUAAUACUUUUAUCCGGCAUCGGGUGAUAGUUAAAUCUACGGAGGUCUUGGAUGGGGUUGCGGGUCAUUAGCUAGUUGGUAAGGUAACGGCUUACCAAGGCGACGAUGACUAGGGGAGCUGAGAGGCUGGUCCCCCACACGGGCACUGAGAUACGGGCCCGACUCCUACGGGAGGCAGCAGUAGGGAAUAUUGGGCAAUGGGCGAGAGCCUGACCCAGCCAUGCCGCGUGCAGGAAGAAGGCUUUCUGAGUCGUAAACUGCUUUUGAUAGGGAAGAAUAAGCCGUACGUGUACGGUGAUGACGGUACCUACAGAAUAAGCACCGGCUAACUCCGUGCCAGCAGCCGCGGUAAUACGGAGGGUGCGAGCGUUGUCCGGAUUUAUUGGGUUUAAAGGGUGCGUAGGCGGCCCGUUAAGUCCGGGGUGAAAGCCCGUUGCUCAACAACGGAACUGCCCUGGAUACUGGCGGGCUUGAGACUAGUGGAGGUU
Molecule: ribosomal RNA, 628 nt
Filed under: uncultured bacterium
Lineage: Bacteria
Description: bacterial SSU rRNA
Rfam family: Bacterial small subunit ribosomal RNA
Source: RNAcentral